AAUCGCACCUUUGCACCCUUUGGGCAUUCCGAAGGGUAUGCUCGUUUGAGUGUCAUUGUACUCUCACACUCUCCGAUCCUUUGGAUUUGGGGAGCGGUGGACUUGGGUGUUUGCUGCUUUCCUUGUGGCUCACCUCAAAUGCGUCAGUGCACCUCUUGGUUGGACAUAGUACGGCGUGAUAAGUGUCUUCGCCGGCACCUCGCAAGAGGGUGGCCGAUCGAGAGCUCUGUGCUUUCAAACCGUCUGUCUUCAGACAAUCUCUGACAACUUGACCUCAAAUCGAGUAGGACUACCCGCUGAACUUAA
RNAcentral lists this ribosomal RNA (306 nucleotides) under uncultured Sebacinaceae. RNAcentral's name for it is "eukaryotic LSU rRNA". The record is from RNAcentral. Lineage: Eukaryota; Fungi; Basidiomycota; Agaricomycetes; Sebacinales; Sebacinaceae.